RNAcentral lists this long non-coding RNA (338 nucleotides) under Zonotrichia albicollis (white-throated sparrow). Its description in RNAcentral is "lncRNA (ENSZALG00000016444.1)". The record is from RNAcentral. Lineage: Eukaryota; Metazoa; Chordata; Aves; Passeriformes; Passerellidae.
UUGCCAGGGAGGAAGAGGAGGUCCUAGGAGCAUUUCUUUUCCUGUUUCCAGUGGACCUUUAGGAGAUGGAAUGGGGGAUGGGGUGAGGUGGCACCUACCAUGCAGUGCUCAAUUUGAAGACUUAAAUUCCUAAAUAAAUUUGUAGGAAUUGUCAAGGAUCCUGGCCUGGAAAAUAGUGCCAAACCUAUUCAUCAAAGGGGCAGCGUUCUAGGAUACUAAAGUUAGCACGUAUCAUCUUGUGUGAAAAAAUCCAGCCCAAUACAGAAUUUGAGAAAACUGUCUGUAUUUUAAUUUAUUUCAAUUGGGAGUCUUAACAAGCUGAAGCCAAAGGUUUGAAA